This 506-nucleotide ribosomal RNA is filed under the name uncultured Glomeromycotina. RNAcentral's name for it is "partial small subunit ribosomal RNA". It matches the Rfam family "Eukaryotic small subunit ribosomal RNA", at positions 591 to 1091 of the family's 1831-position model. Lineage: Eukaryota; Fungi; Glomeromycota. The record is from RNAcentral.
CCAAUAGCGUAUAUUAAAGUUGUUGCAGUUAAAAAGCUCGUAGUUGAAUUUCGGGAUUGGCGCAUCGGUCGUGCCUCACGGGGUAUGAACUGGUGCAGUCAAUUUCUCACCUUCUGGAGAACCGCGAUGUCCUUAAUUGGAUGCCGCGGGGAACCAGGACCUUUACUUUGAAAAAAUUAGAGUGGUUAAAGCAGGCAUUUUUGCUUGAAUACAUUAGCAUGGAAUAAUAAAAUAGGACGGCAUGGUUCUAUUUUGUUGGUUUCUAGGACCACCGUAAUGAUUAAUAGGGAUAGUUGGGGGCAUUAGUAUUCAAUUGUCAGAGGUGAAAUUCUUGGAUUUAUUGAAGACUAACUACUGCGAAAGCAUUUGCCAAGGAUGUUUUCAUUAAUCAAGAACGAAAGUUAGGGGAUCGAAGACGAUCAGAUACCGUCGUAGUCUUAACCAUAAACUAUGCCGACUAGGAAUCAGACGAUGUUAAUUUUUUAAUGACUCGUUUGGCACCUUAC